UAUCCGUAGGUGAACCUGCGGAAGGAUCAUUCAUAAUAAGUGUUUUAUGGCACUUUUUUAAAUCCAUAUCCACCUUGUGUGCAAUGUCAGGGUUGAUUUUUCUCUCGAGAGGAUCAACCCCAAACAUCAACUAUAUCUCAACUCUUUGUCUGAAAAAUUUUAUGAAUAAAACAAUUCAAAAUACAACUUUCAACAACGGAUCUCUUGGCUCUC
This 213-nucleotide unclassified non-coding RNA is filed under the name plant metagenome. RNAcentral's name for it is "partial contains small subunit ribosomal RNA, internal transcribed spacer 1, and 5.8S ribosomal RNA". The record is from RNAcentral.